RNAcentral lists this ribosomal RNA (277 nucleotides) under uncultured Streptococcus sp. RNAcentral describes it as "partial 16S ribosomal RNA". It matches the Rfam family "Bacterial small subunit ribosomal RNA", at positions 1106 to 1382 of the family's 1533-position model. The record is from RNAcentral. Lineage: Bacteria; Bacillati; Bacillota; Bacilli; Lactobacillales; Streptococcaceae.
CGCUGUUAGUUGCCAGCGCGUAGAGGUCGGGCACUCUAAUGGGACUGCCGGCGACAAGUCGGAGGAAGGUGGGACGACGUCAAAUCAUCAUGCCCCUUAUGACCUGGGCUACACACGUGCUACAAUGGUUGGUACAACGAGUUGCGAGUCGGUGACGGCGAGCUAAUCUCUUAAAGCCAAUCUCAGUUCGGAUUGUAGGCUGCAACUCGCCUACAUGAAGUCGGAAUCGCUAGUAAUCGCGGAUCAGCACGCCGCGGUGAAUACGUUCCCGGGCCUU